UACGGGGGGGGCAAGCGUUGUUCGGAAUUACUGGGCGUAAAGGGCUCGUAGGUGGCCAACUAAGUCAGACGUGAAAUCCCUCAGCUUAACUGGGGAACUGCGUCUGAUACUGGAUGGCUUGAGUUUGGGAGAGGGACGCGGAAUUCCAGGUGUAGCGGUGAAAUGCGUAGAUAUCGGGAGGAACACCAGUGGCGAAGGCGGCGACCUGGGCCAAUACUGACGCUGAGGUGCGAAAGCGUGGGGAGCAAACAGG
RNAcentral lists this ribosomal RNA (253 nucleotides) under uncultured bacterium. RNAcentral's name for it is "partial 16S ribosomal RNA". It matches the Rfam family "Bacterial small subunit ribosomal RNA", at positions 524 to 776 of the family's 1533-position model. The record is from RNAcentral.